GGGCCCGCACAAGCGGUGGAGCAUGUGGUUUAAUUCGAUGAUACGCGAGGAACCUUACCAGGGCUUAAAUGUAGUCUGACAGGGGUGGAAACACCCCCUCCUUCGGGCAGAUUACAAGGUGCUGCAUGGUUGUCGUCAGCUCGUGCCGUGAGGUGUCAGGUUAAGUCCUAUAACGAGCGCAACCCCCUGCCGUUAGUUGCCAGCAUGUAAUGAUGGGAACUCUAACGGGACUGCCGGUGCAAACCGCGAGGAAGGUGGGAUGACGUCAAAUCAUCACGGCCCUUACGUCCUGGGCUACACACGUGCUACAAUGGCCGGUACAGAGGGCAGCCACACGCAAGGUGGAGCGAAUCUACAAAAGCCGAUCUC
RNAcentral lists this ribosomal RNA (369 nucleotides) under uncultured bacterium. Its description in RNAcentral is "bacterial SSU rRNA". It matches the Rfam family "Bacterial small subunit ribosomal RNA", at positions 917 to 1289 of the family's 1533-position model. The record is from RNAcentral.